GGCUACCGCUAUUGGAGUUCGAUUAAGCCAUGCGAGUCGAGAGUCCUCGGGACUCGGCGUACCGCUCAGUAACACGUGGGUAACCUGCCCUAUGCUGGGGAAUAACCUCGGGAAACUGAGAAUAAUGCCCCAUAGCCCACUACGCCUGGAACGGUGAGUGGGUCAAAGCCCCGGCGGCAUAGGAUGGGCCUGCGCCGUAUCAGGUUGUAGGGGGUGUAAAGUACCCUCUAGCCAUCAACGCGUACGGGUGUUGGGAGACAUUGCCCGGAGAUGGAUUCUGAGACACGAAUCCAGACCCUACGGGGUGCAGCAGGCGCGAAAACUUGGCAAUGCGAGCAAUCGUGACCAGGGAACUCCAAGUGCGUAGGGUAAGACCUACGCUUUUCUUGACUCUUCAAAGGUCUUGGAAUAAGGGGUGGGUAAGGACGGUGCCAGCCGCCGCGGUAAUACCGGCGCCUCAAGUGGUAGUCGCUUUUAUUGGGCCUAAAACGUCCGUAGCCGGUCUGGUGCAUUCGUGGGUAAAUCAACCCGCUCAACGGGUUGAAUUCUGCGAGCACGGCCAGACUUGGGACCGGGAGAGGUGUGGGGUACUCUCAGGGUAGGGGUAAAAUCCUGUCAUCCUGAGAGGACCACCUGUUGCGAAGGCGCCACACUAGAACGGAUCCGACGGUCAGGGACGAAACCUAGGGGCACGAACCGGAUUAGAUACCCGGGUAGUCCUAGGUGUAAACGCUGUGGACUUGAUGUUGGGGGCGCUCCGAGCGCUCUCAGUGUCGAAGCGAAGGUGAUAAGUCCACUGCCUGGGGAGUACGGUCGCAAGGCUGAAACUUAAAGGAAUUGGCGGGGGAGCACUGCAACCUGAGGAUUGUGCGGUUU
Molecule: ribosomal RNA, 876 nt
Filed under: uncultured archaeon
Lineage: Archaea
Description: bacterial SSU rRNA
Rfam family: Archaeal small subunit ribosomal RNA
Source: RNAcentral